This 25-nucleotide non-coding RNA is filed under the name Arabidopsis thaliana (thale cress). Lineage: Eukaryota; Viridiplantae; Streptophyta; Magnoliopsida; Brassicales; Brassicaceae. The record is from RNAcentral.
UUCCAAAGGUGGAAUCUUCUAGUUC